AUUGAACGCUGGCGGCAUGCCUUACACAUGCAAGUCGAACGGCAGCACGGGAGCAAUCCUGGUGGCGAGUGGCGAACGGGUGAGUAAAGUAUCGGAACGUGCCCAGUCGUGGGGGAUAACGUAGCGAAAGUUACGCUAAUACCGCAUACGAUCUAUGGAUGAAAGCGGGGGAUCGCAAGACCUCGCGCGAUUGGAGCGGCCGAUAUCAGAUUAGGUAGUUGGUGGGGUAAAGGCCCACCAAGCCGACGAUCUGUAGCUGGUCUGAGAGGACGACCAGCCACACUGGGACUGAGACACGGCCCAGACUCCUACGGGAGGCAGCAGUGGGGAAUUUUGGACAAUGGGCGAAAGCCUGAUCCAGCCAUGCCGCGUGCAGGAUGAAGGCCUUCGGGUUGUAAACUGCUUUUGUACGGAACGAAAAGGACUGCCCUAAUACGGUAGUCCCAUGACGGUACCGUAAGAAUAAGCACCGGCUAACUACGUGCCAGCCGCCGCGGUAA
This 500-nucleotide ribosomal RNA is filed under the name uncultured bacterium. Its description in RNAcentral is "partial 16S ribosomal RNA". It matches the Rfam family "Bacterial small subunit ribosomal RNA", at positions 30 to 523 of the family's 1533-position model. The record is from RNAcentral.